RNA transcript from Sciurus carolinensis (gray squirrel), 1688 nucleotides. It is a transcript of the gene named microtubule interacting and trafficking domain containing 1, with no coding region annotated. The transcript is spliced from 9 exons. The record is from RefSeq and is a predicted model, not a curated record. NCBI's taxonomy places the organism in Eukaryota, Metazoa, Chordata, Mammalia, Rodentia, Sciuridae.
CGCUUCCCGGCAGCACGGAUGACCUGCUCAAGUCCAGCCUGGAUUGAGGCUGAGCGGAGUUGUAGUGAUGGCCAAGCCCCGGGUGGCGCUGGAUCCGGAGAGCACAGCUGCCGCCACUGUGCUGAAACGGGCGGUGGAGCUAGAUUCGGAGUCCCGGUACCCGCAGGCUCUGGUGUGCUACCAAGAGGGGAUUGACCUGCUCCUGCAGGUUCUGAAAGGUACCAAAGAUGAUGCUAAGAAACGUAAUCUCAGAGAAAAAAUUUCUGGCUACAUGGAUAGAGCAGAAAACAUAAAGAAAUAUGUGGAUCAAGAAAAAGAAGAUGGAAAAUAUCACAAGCAGAUUAAAAUAGAAGAGAAUGCAACAGGAUUCAGUUAUGAGUCACUUUUUAAAGAAUACCUUAAUGAGACAGUUACAGAAGUUUGGAUAGAAGAUCCUUAUAUUAGGCAGACUCAUCAGCUAUAUAACUUCCUUCGAUUUUGUGAGAUGCUUAUUAAGAAACCUUGUAAUGUAAAAACUAUUCACCUUCUCACCUCUCUAGAUAAGGGAUGUGCAAGAGAGCCACAAAGAAUUGGCCUGGAAGAAAUAAAAAUGUCACUCAGUAGACAUGGAGUGCUGUUGGAAAUAGAAUACUCUUCUUCAAUACAUGACCGAGAAAUUAGGUUCAACAAUGGAUGGAUGAUUAAGAUCGGAAGAGGACUUGAUUAUUUUAAGAAACUGCAGGGUCGUUUUCCCCUUGGAUACCAUGAUUUUGACCUAAGACCAUGUCAUGAAACAACAGUGGACAUUUUUCAUAACAAGCAUACAAAAAAAAUAUGAAGGAUAGUGGCCCAAUGUAUAUAUUUUUACUUUAAGUGAUAUCCUAGUCCACUUCCUAUUGGUCUAUCUGAAUACCACAGGCUGGAUAAUUUAUAAAGAAGAGAGGUUUGUUUAGCUCUUGGUGUGGAGGCUGAGAAGUCUUAAGAGCAUGGUGCUGGCACCUGGCAAGGACCUUUCUGCUCGUGGAGGACGGCAUCACACGGCAAGACCAAGCAAGCACUCUGGAGCGAGCUCGCCUUUAUAAGAGAGCCACUCCUGAGGCUCCGCCCUCGUGACCCUGUCAGCCCAAGAUCCCACCCCAACACUGCGGCACUGGGGACCAUGGCUCCAACACAUGAGCUUCUGGGGAACACAUUUAAACCACAGCAAAGGCAUGAAAAGCAAGCAGUUGUGAAGUUGGAUUGUCUACUACUUCCAAGGCAGUAAGAAGUGAAGUAGCUGAAAUAUUCAUGUGUGCCAGGAACUAAAAUCAAUGAAGAAAGAACCAGUAAUCUAGACAUCAAAAGAGAAAAUGGACAAGGACAGAUUCAGGUUACAUUCUUGCCAAGGAUUCUGAUGCCUACCAAUUACAACACAGGGAGAAUUUUUCCAAAAGAAAAGAAUUGGCUUGCCUUCUAGAUUUACAUGGUCAUGGAUCCAGUCUUCUACAGCCAGAUUUUGAUACACAUCAUUGGAAAUAGACUGUAACAUGAGUCCACCUUUUGUAGUGUUUUUAAAGCCUGCUGCUGGAACCUUGUGGUUGCAAAGUAACUGGAAGCAAUUCUUCACUGAAAAUGGGAUCAGCAUGCUUCUAAAAAUGGAAGACAAAUUAAUUCAAUAAAAAAAGGAGAAUUAAAUUCUACUUUCUAGUUAUCAAUGAUUGGUUAUUUGA